Molecule: transfer RNA, 75 nt
Filed under: Candidatus Legionella polyplacis
Lineage: Bacteria; Pseudomonadati; Pseudomonadota; Gammaproteobacteria; Legionellales; Legionellaceae
Description: Legionella endosymbiont of Polyplax serrata tRNA-Glu
Rfam family: tRNA
About the family: Transfer RNA (tRNA) molecules are approximately 80 nucleotides in length.
Source: RNAcentral
GUCUCCAUCGUCUAGUUCGGAUUAGGACAUCGCCCUUUCACGGCGGUAACAGGGGUUCAAAUCCCCUUGGAGACG